AUGGGUCUAUUUGAGUUCCUAGUAAUGCCCUUUGGAGUGAAAAAUGGUCCUCCUACAUUUAUAGGACGCAUGCAUACUGUAUUGGGGCCUCUCCUGAGACACUGUGUGCUAGUUUUCUUUGAUGAUAUCCUCAUGUUUAGUAAAACAUACAAGGAGCACUUGGAACAUGUGGCCCUGGUUCUGGAAGCACUUAGGAAACAUCAAUUAUAUGCAAAGCUCUCUAAGUGCACAUUUGCACAAAACAAAGUGGAAUAUUUGGGCUAUGUAAUCACUGACAAGGGAGUAUCCAUAGAACCUGCUAAAGUAGAAGCAAUCAUAAACUGGCCCACACCUCAGAAUGUGACACACUUGAGAAGUUUCUUGGGAUUAGCUGGGUAUUACAGGAGGUUUGGUCAGAAUUAUGGACUGAUUUGCAAGCCACUGUUUGAUGCAUUGAAAAAGGAUGGAUUUACAUGGACUGAAACACAACAGGCUGCUUUCCAGCAAUUAAAGGACAGGAUGACUUCUGCCCCAGUCCUUGCCUUACCUGAUUUUUCCUUGCCCUUUGUAUUGGAAGCUGAUGCUUCUGGAUAUGGAAUUGGAGCAGUACUAAUGCAGAAGGGACAACCUAUUGCAUAUAUGAGCAAAGCCCUGGGCCCUAAAGCUGCUGGCUGGUCCACCUAUGACAAAGAGGCACUGGCAAUCAUUGAAGCAAUUAAGAAAUGGAAGCAUUACUUUGCUUCAUCCUCUCUGAUUAUCAGAACUGACCAGCAGAGUUCGAAAUACAUACAAGAGCAAAAAGUAACUGAAGGGAUCCAUCACAAACUUCUCAUUAAAUUAAUGGGUUACAAGUUCAUAGUGGAAUACAAGAAAGGUAAAGAAACAGAGUGGCUGAUGCUCUCUCUAGAGUUAAAUAUGCUCUCAAUGUUUUAG
Molecule: ribosomal RNA, 912 nt
Filed under: Triticum aestivum (bread wheat)
Lineage: Eukaryota; Viridiplantae; Streptophyta; Magnoliopsida; Poales; Poaceae
Description: partial small subunit ribosomal RNA
Source: RNAcentral